Mangifera indica (mango) is the source of this 1326-nucleotide long non-coding RNA. RefSeq lists it as uncharacterized. The transcript has 2 exons. NCBI's taxonomy places the organism in Eukaryota, Viridiplantae, Streptophyta, Magnoliopsida, Sapindales, Anacardiaceae. The record is from RefSeq and is a predicted model, not a curated record.
UUCCCGAUCAAGCUACUCAUGUGGGGCAAUGAUAUUGAUUUUAGUUUUAAAUUUUAAUGUUCUAGAGAGCUGGAUGCAUCAAUUUUCUUGGUAUUUUUUACCAAGUCUUAUCAUGAAAGAUGGAUAGUGACAUGCUUUGCUUCUAGCUUUAGAAACCCACCCUAACCAUUAACCAAGCCAUCUCAAUAAUUAUCAUUGAGUGACGUCCUUUUUCAUGUUUCAAAGUAAUUCAUAUGAAAAAUCAGUCAAAGAAAAUAUAAAUUAUUUCAUUUGAUUAGGUAGGUGUUUUCAGGUUCAGUAGUUGAACAAUGGUUUCCAAAUUUUUAUAUCACAACAAAAUAGAAGACUUUGUUAAUUGGACAGGAAUUUCGGAAAGAAGCAAAACAACGCACGCUGUCUACGCGUUUCAAUUGGUCCUUCCUAAUAACUUGCUGCAUCAGAACAAACCUCAGCCCCCUUAUUCUCCAUAUUACAUAUUCAUCGAUCUUUUGUCAUUUCCUCUCUUGUAACACAACAAAAACUCAUCUGGGUACUUUCCGUUUUGGUCAAUGAUUCUGGCUCUUGUUGCUUGGUGAUUGAAGAAGGAUGAGGGAGGCUCAAAUUCGUAAAAUCAAAGGGAGGAAGAAGAAGAAAGGACUGAAAAGGUGUUGUUUGUGGCCUUGUUAUGCGGUUUGUUCAUUGGGUAAGGGGGUUGGCAGAUGCCUGUUUGUUAGUUGUUAUCCAGUGUUGCAGUGCUUUGGAUGUGAUGAUUGUAGACAUCAACACCACCACCACAGGCAUUUUCAUUAGUUUUUUUUUAUAUUUUCUUUCUAUAUUAUCAUUGACUUUAUAGAUAAUUGUUAUUUCAAGCUCUUGUUCCUCUCAGGAGAAAGGAGAGGAAACAUGUGAAAGUUACGUAAAGAAAGAAUCCAAUUUGUUAUUUUUGAAUUUUCUGCGGUGGGUUUGUGCUUCGCAUUUUACAAGUGUAUGCAGAAAAGCAAUUAGAACAUAGGUAAAGUGGGUUGAUAAUGGUGUGCUGUGAUUUGAUUUGAUAUGAUAUGAAGAGAUUGUUUGUAAUUAGCUUGUUUUCAGAAUCAAUCUUUUGUUCUGCCAAGAAAUGAAAAUCUAAUCUCCAGCCUGAUCUGAUUGAGGCAACUGAGGAAGAUAUGCAAAAUAACAUAUUUUUUUCAUAUAUUGUACUUGGUUAGGCAAUAUUUGGACGUGAUUUACAUAACAACCGAAUCUUUAUCAAAUUGUAACUUACUCAUACAAAGGCUGUACCGAUCACAGAAAUACUUGUGUAGAUAUCCAUUGUGAUUUAAGUACUUAAAAUAGUCAAUUCCACUA